CAGGGAAUCUUGCACAAUGGGCGAAAGCCUGAUGCAGCGACGCCGCGUGGGGGAUGAAGGCCCUAGGGUCGUAAACCCCUUUCAGCAGGGACGAAAAUGACGGUACCUGCAGAAGAAGCCCCGGCCAACUACGUGCCAGCAGCCGCGGUAAGACGUAGGGGGCGAGCGUUGUCCGGAUUUAUUGGGCGUAAAGAGCUCGUAGGCGGUUGCGUAAGUCGGAUGUGAAAACUCAGGGCUCAACCCUGAGACGCCAUCCGAUACUGCGCUGACUUGAAUCCAGUAGGGGAGUGCGGAAUUCCUGGUGUAGCGGUGAAAUGCGCAGAUAUCAGGAGGAACACCCAUGGCGAAGGCAGCACUCUGGGCUGGUAUUGACGCUGAGGAGCGAAAGCAUGGGUAGCGACAGGAUUAGAUACCCCAGUAGUCCCUG
RNAcentral lists this ribosomal RNA (427 nucleotides) under uncultured bacterium. RNAcentral describes it as "bacterial SSU rRNA". It matches the Rfam family "Bacterial small subunit ribosomal RNA", at positions 355 to 799 of the family's 1533-position model. The record is from RNAcentral.